Molecule: unclassified non-coding RNA, 332 nt
Filed under: soil metagenome
Description: partial contains 5.8S ribosomal RNA, internal transcribed spacer 2, and large subunit ribosomal RNA
Rfam family: 5.8S ribosomal RNA (bases 1-120)
Source: RNAcentral
GAUGAAGAACGUAGCGAAAUGCGAUAAGUAGUGUGAAUUGCAGAAUUCAGUGAAUCAUCGAAUCUUUGAACGCACAUUGCGCCCUUUGGUAUUCCUUAGGGCAUGCCUGUUCGAGCGUCAUUUAAACCUUCAAGCUAAGCUUGGUGUUGGGUGACUGUCCGCUUCACGGCGGACUCGCCUCAAAAUUAUUGGCGGCCGGUACAUUGGCUUCGAGCGCAGCAGAAACGCGAACUCGGGCCCGUCGUAUUGGCACCCAGAAGCUAUCUUCACAAUUUUGACCUCGGAUCAGGUAGGGAUACCCGCUGAACUUAAGCAUAUCAAUAAGCGGAGGA